GUCUACGGCCCUACCACCCUGAAUGCACCCGAUCUCAUCUGAUCUCGGAAGCUAAGCAGGGUCGGGCCUGGUUAGUACUUGGAUGGGAGACCUCCUGGGAAUACCGGGUGCUGUAGGCU
RNAcentral lists this ribosomal RNA (119 nucleotides) under Callithrix jacchus (white-tufted-ear marmoset). Lineage: Eukaryota; Metazoa; Chordata; Mammalia; Primates; Cebidae. The record is from RNAcentral.